Tulasnella sp. 403 is the source of this 112-nucleotide non-coding RNA. Lineage: Eukaryota; Fungi; Basidiomycota; Agaricomycetes; Cantharellales; Tulasnellaceae. The record is from the annotation of a GenBank genome assembly.
GGCACGAUGGCCGAGUGGUCUAAGGCGCUGCACUCAAGUGUAAAAACUUGCGAGUUCACCUCGUAGCAUUGCAGUCUCGAAAGAGGCGUGAGUUCGAGUCUCACUCGUGUCA